GCAAGUCGAGCGCUCACUUCGGUGGGAGCGGCGGACGGGUUAGUAACGCGUGGGAACGUACCCAGAUCUAAGGAAUAGCCACUGGAAACGGUGAGUAAUACCUUAUACGCCCUUCGGGGGAAAGAUUUAUCGGAUUUGGAUCGGCCCGCGUUAGAUUAGGUAGUUGGUGGGGUAACGGCCUACCAAGCCUACGAUCUAUAGCUGGUUUUAGAGGAUGAUC
This 220-nucleotide ribosomal RNA is filed under the name uncultured bacterium. RNAcentral describes it as "partial 16S ribosomal RNA". It matches the Rfam family "Bacterial small subunit ribosomal RNA", at positions 57 to 305 of the family's 1533-position model. The record is from RNAcentral.